This 72-nucleotide transfer RNA is filed under the name Candidatus Tayloriibacteriota bacterium. RNAcentral's name for it is "Candidatus Taylorbacteria bacterium (sediment metagenome) tRNA-Arg". It matches the Rfam family "tRNA". Rfam says of the family: Transfer RNA (tRNA) molecules are approximately 80 nucleotides in length. Their secondary structure includes four short double-helical elements and three loops (D, anti-codon, and T loops). Lineage: Bacteria; Candidatus Tayloriibacteriota. The record is from RNAcentral.
GCUCCCGUGGUGAAAUGGACAUCACGGCGGUCUUCGGAACCGCUAUUGGGGGUUCGAGUCCCUCCGGGAGCG